UCCCACUCAUCUUCUGGCAAGUCAUCAGCCACAAAGCUUCCACCCCUCAAAACAGUUCCUGGGUGAGUCAUACCUUUAAUUUUAUUUUCAAUGCCUUAUGCUUGACACAAUAUCUUGAACUUUUAUAUUUGUUUUUCUCAGUGCCAAACCAAGACCCAGCAAGAAGGCUCGGCUAACUAAACCGGCUGACGAUAAUGUGGUUGUUGAACCGGAAAAGACUCCAGAUCCGGAAGAAACCAAUGCUGACGCCAUACUUAAUGAUCCGCCGCCUCAAGACCAUGACUUCUUUGCUGAACAAGUAGAAGUUGACACCACAAGCCAUGCUGAC
Molecule: long non-coding RNA, 328 nt
Filed under: Triticum aestivum (bread wheat)
Lineage: Eukaryota; Viridiplantae; Streptophyta; Magnoliopsida; Poales; Poaceae
Description: long non-coding RNA (TAES_LNC024501)
Source: RNAcentral